Molecule: ribosomal RNA, 301 nt
Filed under: uncultured bacterium
Lineage: Bacteria
Description: partial 16S ribosomal RNA
Rfam family: Bacterial small subunit ribosomal RNA
Source: RNAcentral
CAGCAGCCGCGGUAAUACAGAGGGUGCAAGCGUUAAUCGGAUUUACUGGGCGUAAAGGGCGCGUAGGUGGUUAUGUAAGUGAGAUGUGAAAUCCCCGGGCUCAACCUGGGAACUGCAUCUUAUACUGCGUAGCUGGAGUGCAGUAGAGGGUAGUGGAAUUUCCGGUGUAGCGGUGAAAUGCGUAGAUAUCGGAAGGAACACCAGUGGCGAAGGCGGCUACCUGGACUGACACUGACACUGAGGCGCGAAAGCGUGGGGAGCAAACAGGAUUAGAUACCCGUGUAGUCCCUGUCUCUUAUAC